AUUGAACGCUGGCGGCAUGCUUUACACAUGCAAGUCGAACGGCAGCGCGGGCUUCGGCCUGGCGGCGAGUGGCGAACGGGUGAGUAAUACAUCGGAACGUGCCCAGUAGUGGGGGAUAGCUCGGCGAAAGCCGGAUUAAUACCGCAUACGACCUGCGGGUGAAAGCGGGGGAUCUUCGGACCUCGCGCUCUUGGAGCGGCCGAUGGCAGAUUAGCUAGUUGGUGGGGUAAAGGCCUACCAAGGCGACGAUCUGUAGCUGGUCUGAGAGGACGACCAGCCACACGGGGAGUGAGACACGGCCCAGACUCCUACGGGAGGCAGCAGUGGGGAAUGUUGGACAAUGGGCGAAAGCCUGAUCCAGCAAUGCCGCGUGUGUGGUGAAGGCCUUCGGGUUGUAAAGCACUUUUGGCGGGAACGAAAAGGACUGUGCCAAUACCACGGUUGGAUGACGGUACCCGCAGAAUAAGCACCGGCUAACUACGUG
This 484-nucleotide ribosomal RNA is filed under the name uncultured bacterium. RNAcentral describes it as "partial 16S ribosomal RNA". It matches the Rfam family "Bacterial small subunit ribosomal RNA", at positions 29 to 507 of the family's 1533-position model. The record is from RNAcentral.